AUCCUCGAUUUGUUGGGGACAGAUAAAAUGGAUAUGGCUGUCCAUGCCGCCGGCGGUCAGGAUGCGCCCCUCGCCCGCGAUGGCCUCGGUGCCGGGACCGACGAUGAUAUCGACAUUGGGCUGGGUGUCAGGAUUGCCCGCCUUGCCGAUCCCUACAAUCACACCGGCUUUCAGGCCGAUAUCGGCCUUGUAGAUGCCCGUGGUAUCAACGAUCAGCGCGUUUGUGAUCACAGUGUCGACGGCCCCCUGCGCGCGGCUCAGUUGGGAUUGCCCCAUCCCGUCGCGGAU
This 288-nucleotide small RNA is filed under the name Aquimixticola soesokkakensis. Its description in RNAcentral is "5' ureB small RNA". It matches the Rfam family "5' ureB small RNA". The record is from Rfam by way of RNAcentral. Lineage: Bacteria; Pseudomonadati; Pseudomonadota; Alphaproteobacteria; Rhodobacterales; Paracoccaceae.